GGCCUGUUAGCUCAGCUGGUUAGAGUGUGGUGCUAAUGACGCCGAGGUCGUGGGUUCGAUCCCCACAUGGGCCA
RNAcentral lists this transfer RNA (74 nucleotides) under Danionella translucida. It matches the Rfam family "tRNA". Rfam says of the family: Transfer RNA (tRNA) molecules are approximately 80 nucleotides in length. RNAcentral also lists the same sequence under 1 other name. The record is from Rfam by way of RNAcentral. Lineage: Eukaryota; Metazoa; Chordata; Actinopteri; Cypriniformes; Danionidae.